This 253-nucleotide ribosomal RNA is filed under the name uncultured bacterium. RNAcentral describes it as "partial 16S ribosomal RNA". It matches the Rfam family "Bacterial small subunit ribosomal RNA", at positions 524 to 776 of the family's 1533-position model. The record is from RNAcentral.
UACGAAGGGUGCAAGCGUUACUCGGAAUUACUGGGCGUAAAGGGUGCGUAGGUGGUUUGUCACGUCGGCUGUGAAAACCCGGGGCUCAACCCCGGGCCUGCAGUCGAUACGGGCAGACUAGAGUGCGGUAGGGGAGACUGGAAUUCCUGGUGUAGCGGUGAAAUGCGCAGAUAUCAGGAGGAACACCGGUGGCGAAGGCGGGUCUCUGGGCCGUAACUGACGCUGAGGAGCGAAAGCGUGGGGAGCGAACAGG